This 373-nucleotide ribosomal RNA is filed under the name uncultured organism. RNAcentral's name for it is "partial 16S ribosomal RNA". It matches the Rfam family "Bacterial small subunit ribosomal RNA", at positions 527 to 896 of the family's 1533-position model. The record is from RNAcentral.
GUAGGUGGCAAGCGUUGUCCGGAAUUAUUGGGCGUAAAGCGCGCGCAGGCGGUCCUUUAAGUCUGAUGUUAAAGCCCACGGCUCAACCGUGGAGGGUCAUUGGAAACUGGGGGACUUGAGUACAGAAGAGGAAAGCGGAAUUCCAAGUGUAGCGGUGAAAUGCGUAGAGAUUUGGAGGAACACCAGUGGCGAAGGCGGCUUUCUGGUCUGUAACUGACGCUGAGGCGCGAAAGCGUGGGGAGCAAACAGGAUUAGAUACCCUGGUAGUCCACGCCGUAAACGAUGAGUGCUAAGUGUUAGGGGGUUUCCCGCCCCCUUAGUGCUGCAGCUAACGCAUUAAGCACUCCGCCUGGGGAGUACGGCCGCAAGGCUG